UUCAGUUACAAUUCUGACCAUUUUACUUUAACACAAUUUUUUUUUCUUUGUCAUAUUGGAAGUGGUUGAAACCGUCAUUAGUAUUUUAGAUCCAUCAAAAGCUGUUAAUAUUUUAUCAAGAAAGUUAAACAGCAGCACGAAAGUGUCCCACUGUUAGAAGAGCUUCAUCAGAUUAUAUCUAAUCAUAUGGUGGCGCUUUGUGAUAAGGCGUCAAAAUUUUAUUUCUUUGUCAUUUUUUCCAUUUGGCCUCAGCACAUUGUUGGACUCCGCUUAAUCAAAUCAGCCCUUAAUUAGUUUUUUUUUUCUUUAGCAAUCUCCCAAAUGCUUUGAGGAGUAUCAUAAUUCAGAUUUCAGCUUUGAAAACAAAUAUAUUUUACUAAUUAAUUGGAUUCUAAUUUGCUUUCUCAUUCAUCUGCUGCGAUGGAUCUGCCUUCUCGGUGUCAGACUGGUAAAUGGAGGAAACCCAGGCACGCCGAGCCGAGCCCCUCAGAAUCUCAUUAAUGCGCUCGCUUUCCUACAUUUCCUCCGUCUCCCUGGUGGUGCUAUCAGAGGAGUGAAUCUGUGCAUCUUCCCUGCAGCUCUACACGAGCUCCAUCUCCUUGCCCCACACUGUCUGGCUCAAAACAUGCAACCCACACCGAGGCGUUUCGCUCGCUGUUAGACACUUAGCUGCGGUCAGACGGAAAAUCCAUACAAAGACUGGGAAUAAAAAAAAGAAAAGAAGAAGAAGAAGAAGAAGUGAGAGAAUGCCUUUAAACGCAGUGUAGCCCAUUUGGUUUUGCAGGAUGAAAUCCACACGGACUCGCUCAGAAGGAUGAUGAUUAUUAUCUCUCCUCUCGUUUUCAGGGUCUGGUAUGACCUUCUUUGUCCGUGCAACCCGGUGUGCGGCUGCCACCGCUGCCAGGUUGAACUAGCCAGAGGGCACCGGGGGUCCGCAGAGGCCCUGUGAUGGAUGGUCGGCGCUCAUUUAUGGAGGAAAAAACUCUGCUCUGUAGAGUGUUUGGUUUUCUGCAUGGUACAGUACAUGUCUGCGAGAACUGACACAGGUAAAAGAGAGCAGGAGGUGAGGUGGGCCUUUGAUUCUGAAGCGUGCCACAACCUUGACCUUGCUUCUGGGCAAAAAGCAGGCCAAACUUUGUGUGUUUAUAUCUGGAAGAGAAAGAGAGAGAGCAAGAACUCAGCUGACAAGGUCUUAAAGGCCAGAGGAUAGUCUAACCUUGGCAGAGAACAGACUGGACACCGGCCAGCCUCAUCUUCACCUUAAUCCCCACGCCUAAUAAAUCCUUCACCAGGCCCUGCAGAGACCGCAGCAUAUUUCACAUCAUGACCCGAUUAUUUUUCUAAUAAGUUUUCACCAUUACACCCCCAAAAGAGCUCGCUGAAUAACAUCCCAGUGAAAGUUCAAGAGACGCAGCACUUCCUUCUUCUGACUGUGGGUGGCACUAUUGAGCCACUGUAGCUUGAGCAGCUGGAUCCAGUCAUCAAUAGUCAGAUGAAGGCAGGAAAGAAAAAAAAUCCCCCCCCCCCGCUGAACAACAGUGCAAUUCACUCAUAGUGGGCUCUUGAUCCCCAGCUUCCUGCCUUCACCCACCCCGGAGGCUGUGAUGGAUGUGUUUGCCCGCAUAGGUGGUUAUGAAAUGCUUAACAACGUGACAUAGCAACGCAUAACAAUAACAAUUUCACUUCACACCGUUCCUCAAAUGCCUCCGCCGUUUAGGCUCUUCGGGUAAAACAAAUUAGCAACAAACAGCUACCAAAAGAGAGAUUGCAUUAACAACAUGGAAAAUAUGAGGAUGUAAAAAUUAAAGACAGUUUACAGGACAAUAAACAUGAUAAAAAAUGAAGCAUUUAAAACCUUUUAAGUGGAUGCCUUUUAUGAAAUCUUGAUCAUUUCCUCUGCAGCUCAUACUCAGUUAGAUUUGAUGGAGAGUGUCGACAGGCUUCGUUUUUCAAGUUUGGCCACAAACUCUCAUUCGGAUUUGUGUCUGGACUUUGACUGAGCCAUUCCAACAUUUGCUUCGAGUUGUUUGUUGUGGUUCCACUGACCCUCGUUUCAAUCGAGGAAUUCCUGCGUUACGUUGUAAUGUAUUAUUCAAGCCAUUGUCAGAUCGUCUCGUCGAUUAAGAUGUUUCUGUUUCAACAGCUUGCUCUUCUCUCUUUAAUGUCUGACAAACUCCUCAAUCUAAGCUGAAGAAAAGCAUCUCCACACAUGAUGCCGCUACCUCUGUGCUUCAGCUGAGACUCUUCUCAUGG
Molecule: non-coding RNA, 2253 nt
Organism: Poecilia reticulata (guppy)
Lineage: Eukaryota; Metazoa; Chordata; Actinopteri; Cyprinodontiformes; Poeciliidae
Source: RefSeq, a predicted model, not a curated record